Molecule: ribosomal RNA, 505 nt
Filed under: uncultured Geobacter sp.
Lineage: Bacteria; Pseudomonadati; Thermodesulfobacteriota; Desulfuromonadia; Geobacterales; Geobacteraceae
Description: bacterial SSU rRNA
Rfam family: Bacterial small subunit ribosomal RNA
Source: RNAcentral
ACUCCUACGGGAGGCAGCAGUGGGGAAUUUUGCGCAAUGGGCGAAAGCCUGACGCAGCAACGCCGCGUGAGUGAUGAAGGCUUUCGGGUCGUAAAGCUCUGUCAGGGGGAAAGAAGUGUAGUGUGGUUAAUACCCAUGCUACUUGACGGUACCCCCAAAGGAAGCACCGGCUAACUCCGUGCCAGCAGCCGCGGUAAUACGGAGGGUGCAAGCGUUGUUCGGAAUUAUUGGGCGUAAAGCGCGUGUAGGCGGUUUUUUAAGUCUGAUGUGAAAGCCCUGGGCUCAACCUGGGAAGUGCAUUGGAUACUGGAAGACUUGAGUACGGGAGAGGGUAGUGGAAUUCCGAGUGUAGGAGUGAAAUCCGUAGAUAUUAGGAGGAACACCGGUGGCGAAGGCGGCUGCCUGGACCGAUAUUGACGCUGAGACGCGAAAGCGUGGGUAGCAAACAGGAUUAGAUACCCUGGUAGUCCACGCCGUAAACGAUGAGAACUAGGUGUCGCGGGUA